RNAcentral lists this transfer RNA (77 nucleotides) under Oscillospiraceae bacterium. RNAcentral's name for it is "tRNA-Thr". It matches the Rfam family "tRNA". From Rfam's summary of the family: Transfer RNA (tRNA) molecules are approximately 80 nucleotides in length. Their secondary structure includes four short double-helical elements and three loops (D, anti-codon, and T loops). The record is from RNAcentral. Lineage: Bacteria; Bacillati; Bacillota; Clostridia; Eubacteriales; Oscillospiraceae.
GCUACUGUAGCUCAGUUCGGCAGAGCAGCUGAUUCGUAACCAGCAGGUCGCCGGUUCGACUCCGGCCAGUAGCUCCA